AAUCCAUAGGUUAAUGAGGCGAACCGGGGGAACUGAAACAUCUAAGUACCCCGAGGAAAAGAAAUCAACCGAGAUUCCCCCAGUAGCGGCGAGCGAACGGGGAGGAGCCCAGAGCCUGAAUCAGCAUGUGUGUUAGUGGAAGCGUCUGGAAAGGCGCGCGAUACAGGGUGACAGCCCCGUACACAAAAGCGCAUGUGCUGUGAGCUCGAUGAGUAGGGCGGGACACGUGGUAUCCUGUCUGAAUAUGGGGGGACCAUCCUCCAAGGCUAAAUACUCCUGACUGACCGAUAGUGAACCAGUACCGUGAGGGAAAGGCGAAAAGAACCCCGGCGAGGGGAGUGAAAAAGAACCUGAAACCGUGUACGUACAAGCAGUGGGAGCACCCUUUGGGGUGUGACUGCGUACCUUUUGUAUAAUGGGUCAGCGACUUAUAUUCUGUAGCAAGGUUAACCGAAUAGGGGAGCCGGAGGGAAACCGAGUCUUAAUUGGGCGUUAAGUUGCAGGGUAUAGACCCGAAACCCGGUGAUCUAGCCAUGGGCAGGUUGAAGGUUGGGUAACACUAACUGGAGGACCGAACCGACUAAUGUUGAAAAAUUAGCGGAUGACCUGUGGCUGGGGGUGAAAGGCCAAUCAAACCGGGAGAUAGCUGGUUCUCCCCGAAAGCUAUUUAGGUAGCGCCUCGUGAAUUCAUCUCCGGGGGUAGAGCACUGUUUCGGCUAGGGGGCCAUCCCGGCUUACCAACCCGAUGCAAACUGCGAAUACCGGAGAAUGUUAUCACGGGAGACACACGGCGGGUGCUAACGUCCGUCGUGAAGAGGGAAACAACCCAGACCGCCAGCUAAGGUCCCAAAGUCAUGGUUAAGUGGGAAACGAUGUGGGAAGGCCCAGACAGCCAGGAUGUUGGCUUAGAAGCAGCCAUCAUUUAAAGAAAGCGUAAUAGCUCACUGGUCGAGUCGGCCUGCGCGGAAGAUGUAACGGGGCUAAACCAUGCACCGAAGCUGCGGCAGCGACGCUGAUGCGUUGUUGGGUAGGGGAGCGUUCUGUAAGCCUGUGAAGGUGGCCUGUGAGGGUUGCUGGAGGUAUCAGAAGUGCGAAUGCUGACAUAAGUAACGAUAAAGCGGGUGAAAAACCCGCUCGCCGGAAGACCAAGGGUUCCUGUCCAACGUUAAUCGGGGCAGGGUGAGUCGACCCCUAAGGCGAGGCCGAAAGGCGUAGUCGAUGGGAAACGGGUUAAUAUUCCCGUACUUGGUGUUACUGCGAAGGGGGGACGGAGAAGGCUAUGUUGGCCGGGCGACGGUUGUCCCGGUUUAAGCGUGUAGGUGUGUGUUCCAGGUAAAUCCGGUUCACUUUAACACUGAGGCGUGAUGACGAGGCACUACGGUGCUGAAGCAACAAAUGCCCUGCUUCCAGGAAAAGCCUCUAAGCAUCAGGUAACAUCAAAUCGUACCCCAAACCGACACAGGUGGUCAGGUAGAGAAUACCAAGGCGCUUGAGAGAACUCGGGUGAAGGAACUAGGCAAAAUGGUGCCGUAACUUCGGGAGAAGGCACGCUGACAUGUAGGUGAAGUGAUUUACUCAUGGAGCUGAAGUCAGUCGAAGAUACCAGCUGGCUGCAACUGUUUAUUAAAAACACAGCACUGUGCAAACACGAAAGUGGACGUAUACGGUGUGACGCCUGCCCGGUGCCGGAAGGUUAAUUGAUGGGGUCAGCGCAAGCGAAGCUCCUGAUCGAAGCCCCGGUAAACGGCGGCCGUAACUAUAACGGUCCUAAGGUAGCGAAAUUCCUUGUCGGGUAAGUUCCGACCUGCACGAAUGGCGUAAUGAUGGCCAGGCUGUCUCCACCCGAGACUCAGUGAAAUUGAACUCGCUGUGAAGAUGCAGUGUACCCGCGGCAAGACGGAAAGACCCCGUGAACCUUUACUAUAGCUUGACACUGAACAUUGAGCCUUGAUGUGUAG
Molecule: ribosomal RNA, 1958 nt
Filed under: Salmonella enterica subsp. enterica serovar Javiana
Lineage: Bacteria; Pseudomonadati; Pseudomonadota; Gammaproteobacteria; Enterobacterales; Enterobacteriaceae
Description: partial 23S ribosomal RNA
Rfam family: Bacterial large subunit ribosomal RNA
Source: RNAcentral